This 542-nucleotide ribosomal RNA is filed under the name Salmonella enterica subsp. enterica. Its description in RNAcentral is "partial 23S ribosomal RNA". It matches the Rfam family "Bacterial large subunit ribosomal RNA", at positions 2401 to 2925 of the family's 2925-position model. Lineage: Bacteria; Pseudomonadati; Pseudomonadota; Gammaproteobacteria; Enterobacterales; Enterobacteriaceae. The record is from RNAcentral.
GAAAGCAGGUCAUAGUGAUCCGGUGGUUCUGAAUGGAAGGGCCAUCGCUCAACGGAUAAAAGGUACUCCGGGGAUAACAGGCUGAUACCGCCCAAGAGUUCAUAUCGACGGCGGUGUUUGGCACCUCGAUGUCGGCUCAUCACAUCCUGGGGCUGAAGUAGGUCCCAAGGGUAUGGCUGUUCGCCAUUUAAAGUGGUACGCGAGCUGGGUUUAGAACGUCGUGAGACAGUUCGGUCCCUAUCUGCCGUGGGCGCUGGAGAACUGAGGGGGGCUGCUCCUAGUACGAGAGGACCGGAGUGGACGCAUCACUGGUGUUCGGGUUGUCAUGCCAAUGGCACUGCCCGGUAGCUAAAUGCGGAAGAGAUAAGUGCUGAAAGCAUCUAAGCACGAAACUUGCCCCGAGAUGAGUUCUCCCUGAGACUUAGAGUCUCCUGAAGGAACGUUGAAGACGACGACGUUGAUAGGCCGGGUGUGUAAGCGCAGCGAUGCGUUGAGCUAACCGGUACUAAUGAACCGUGAGGCUUAACCUUACAACGCCGAAG